Molecule: long non-coding RNA, 2244 nt
Organism: Sapajus apella (tufted capuchin)
Lineage: Eukaryota; Metazoa; Chordata; Mammalia; Primates; Cebidae
Exons: 3
Source: RefSeq, a predicted model, not a curated record
GACAGAGCAAGAUCCCAUCUCAAAAAAAUAAAAAAAUAUAUAUAUAUAAAUUAAAAAUAUGUGUAUUCUGUGGUUGUAGGGUACAGUGUUCUGUAGAUGGGUGUUAGGUCUAGUGGUAUAGGGUGCAGUGUUCUGUUCAUUGGGGUUAGGUCUAGGUGGUUGGUAGUGUUGUGUUCUGUAGUUGUAGGGUGCAGUGUUCUGUAGAUGGAUGUUAGGCCUAGGUGGUGUAGGGUGCAGUGUUCUGUAGAUGGGUGUUAGGUCUAGGUGGUGUACGGUGCAGUGUCCUCUAGACGGGUGUUAAGUCUAGGUGGUUGUAGGGUGCGGUGUUCUGUAGAUGGGUAUGGGUGUUAAGUCUAGGUGGUUGUAGGGUGUGGUGUUCUGUAGAUGGGUGUUAGGUCUAGGUGGUGUAGUGUGUAGUGUCCUGUAGAUGGGUGUUAAGUCUAAGUGGUUGUAGGGUGCAGUGUCUUGUAGAUGGGUGUUAGGUCUAGGUGGUUGUAGGGUGCAGUGUUCUGUAGAUGGGUGUUAGGUCUAGGUGGUGUGGCAUGCAGUGUCCUGUAGAUGGGUGUUAAGUCUAGGUGGUGUAGGGUGCAGUGUCUAUAGGUGGGUGUUAGGUCUAGGUGGUGUAGUGUGCAGUGUUCUGUAGAUGGGUGUCAGAUCUAGGUGGUGUCAGGUGCAGUGUCUGUAGAUGGGUGUUAGGUCUAGGUGGUAUAGUGUGCAGUGUUCUGUGGAUUGGUGUUAGGUCUAGGUGGUAUAGGAUACAGUAUUCUGUAGAUGGGUGUUAGGUCUAGGUGGUGUAGGGUAGUGCUCUGCAGAUUGGUUUUAGGUCUAGGUGGUUUUAGUGUGUUCAAGUCUUAUGUUUUACUAUUGAUUUGCUGCCUACUUCUAUCCAUUAUUGAAAGUGGGAAUUGAAGUCCAACUAUUGCUGUUGAGUUGUCUUCUCCCUUUAUUUCUGUCAGCCUUUGCUUCCUGUAUUUUGGUGCUCUACUUUUUUCAUAUAUGUUUAGAACUUUUAUGUCUUUCUGAUGGAGUAACCUUUUUCCAAUUAUAAAGUAUCCUGCUUUAUUAGGAAAUAGUAUCUUAGACCCAGACAAUCUCUUGGCUCCCAAGCCCAUGCUCUGAUGCCCGUACCAGCUGCCCUGUCCCUGAAGGUGUGUCCUCUCUAUUUCUCUACCUCCUGUAUCCUCAUUCGUUUUGGACUCACCUAAGUGAUCUUUGUCAACUUGGUCUUCCUGUCCUGGAUCUUGAUAAGACCAGCUGAAAUUUUAUUCCCUACUCUGAGGAAAUCCUCAGCCCUUCCCUAGAUGCCUGUAGAUUCCUAGAAGUUCCCAUUUUCCAUCAUCUUGGCCUUUGGGGCCUGCUUUCCUACAGCAUACCCUGGUGCCGUGUAGUUGCUAUGGCUUGAAUGUGCCCCAAGAGCAACGUUCAUGUGUUGUAAACUUAAUCCCCAAUGCAAUAGUGUUGAGAGAUGGGACUUUUCAGAGGCUCUGCCCUCACAAAUGGAUUAAUGCUGUUACCACAGCGGUGGAUUCCUGAUAAAAGGUGAGUUCAGCACCCUCUUGCCUUCUCUCCUGUGUACUCUCUCACCAUGUGAGACCUUCCGCCAUGAAAUGAGGCAGCAAGAAGGUCCUCACAGAUGUAAUUCCUUGAUCUUGGACUUCCCACCCUCCAGAACUGUGAGCCAGCUCUGUUCAUUAUAAGUUACCAGUGUCAGGUAUUCUAUCACAGAAGCACAAAAUUGACUAAGUUGGUAGUUUUCACAAUUCUGUUUCCCAUUCGUCUCCGCCAGGCUCCCCUUAGACUCCCUAGUCACUAAAUCUUGGUAACACAAGUGAGCCCUUUACUGUGGGAGGUGAGAGGAAAGGCACAAUUUACAGAAACACAGAGGUCAGGUUCCUUUUCUCCAUCCUUGGGCAUCCUCUGGGCCCUGGCUUUAUAGGGUUUGACUCAUCCUACCAGCACCCAGCCUCCUGUCACUGUCGCCUGCUCCUGGCUCUGCUCGCCUCUUCCCUCCAUUUCCCAGCCCUGCUUUCCUCUCUGGAGCAAAAGCACUUCUCUCCCUCUGCCUCCUGAAGAGCCAUUUGAUGGCUGCUUUUGUUGUCGUCGUUUCUUUGGCCCCUCCAGGGUCAGGUUCUAACUGUCUUCCUUGGUCUAGCCCGUAGUAAUUUAGUAAGAGGGAUAUGGAGGCAGUUAGGUAAGAAAACUUCCCACCUGGCUUCCCAUGCUGCCUUUUUUUUUUUUUUUUUU